CAUGCAGACACAAACACAACCAAACUAAGAUUUAAUGGGAGUGUGGUGUGGCCCGACAAACCUUUCACUCAGUUCAAACCUGGGAAAGUUCAAUUUUCUGAUGGAAUUGGACUCACGGAACGGAGUUUCCGUCAGGGGCAUUGGUUGGAAUAAGAAAUUUUGGUUUUGCAUGUCGGCUUAUUUCCUAAAUUUGGAAUAAGAAGUUUUUGUUUUUAUUAUAUUAUAUUUUGUACUUUUAUUAAAUUUUAAGCUUUUUAUAUUAAAAAAAAUUAUAAAAUAGUUUUUGGUUAAAAUAAACUUAGUUGAAGUCGUUUUCUUUAAAAUUCGUAAACUUAUUUUGUCAAUACAAUUCCUAAUUUACCCCUAAAAGUGGAACGGAAUUUCGAAAAAAAACCACCCUCCCCGCGCCGAACAACUCACAGCAUCCAAUCACCCACUGCUCGCCGCCAUGAACUCACGGCAAGACAACUACCACCUCCAUUGAUGGCGAUAAUUACAACAGCGACACCACAUUAAUUCUCUCACUUCCUACUCUUAAUUUUCUCCUCUUCCAUUCUUACCUCGUCAUGGAGCCCGAGGGUGAUCGGCGACAACUCCAACCUUCAGAUCUGCUGUCCCCAACCUCUGAUCAAAGUUCAGGGGGUCCGACGAUAAUUUAUAGUGCCCCUCUUCGAUGUAAAGGAAGGUAGAAGGAGAUAGAAAGAAAAAGGGAGAGGCGAAGGGAGAGAUGGGUGGGGGUAGGGCGGAGGUCGGAGACUCCGACGAAUAUGUGGGACGGUUUCUUUAAUUAACUUUUUUUGUUUUUAUUUUUAAUUUAUUUUCUGAAAAUUUUCUCCUCCUAUACACGUGUUGGGUCGACCAUCAGAUGGGGAUGGGUUACCAGAGAGAGCCUGAAGAAUUCCAACGCUUCUCCUGAACGAGGUUUAGCUGAGCAAUUCCACUUCUCUCUCUCACAAAUCUGCUUUCGUCGCUCUCGACUUCUGCUUCCAUCUCACAGAGGGUAGAGUUGCUAUCGGUCAGAUGGAGGAAUGGGUGUGAGAUUCGGUGAGAGGAAGGAGAGGGAGGAGCAGGGAGAUGGGCUCGAGUUUGCGAACGGCGGAAGAGAUCUUCAGGGAUUACAGUGCUCGGAGAACCGACGCCGACACGCUUUAACUAACACUAGGGUCUAGAUGAGUCUACCUGCUAUGGUGAAGAUGGAAGAUGCUAAGCCUGAAGUUCAGCUUCCAACAAUUCAAAUUCCGAGAGCCGCGAUUAUGGUCUUCUCCAAGAUCGAUUUACUGAUUUGUGCAAGAAGGUAUUUGUCAUUGGACGAGAACUCCUACAAGCAAGCUGCAAAUCUGUUCAAAAAAACCAAGAUCUGUUAAUAUCAAAUGCGUCAGCUAUUGGCAAGGGAACAGUACGUAUUGUUAUUUCUCCAUUCUAUAGUCGUGUUAAUAAUGUUAUGUUGAAAUAAGGUCUGAGGUGAUAUCCUUUUGCCGGGAUUUCCUCUGACAAGUGACAACCCCAUUAGGCCCUUGAGAUGGCAGGUGAGUCAUCAACUCGAGUUAUGUGACUCAAAGGAUGGGGCAAGGCAAAUGAGAAAACUGAAUUCAUUGUGAUUUGCGGUCUGACAGUGAAGAUGUAUUUCAGACCGUUUCUUCGAUCAGGAAGAAUUACUCCUCCAAAUUGGACCAGAUUAUUUAUGGUUUUUAAUGAUUUACAGAGCUCCUGGGUUGUCAAUUGUGACUACUACUCACAUGGAUUAUAGCACUUAUGCAAACUUCAGAGCAUACAGGAAAGCAAUGUUUUCCAUUUGGGGUACAAAGAACCAAAUAUGUUAUCGACGUCUUCAAUGAACUUAUUACUUUUAAUUGUUUAGUUUAAUUGAUGUUUGGAUGCUUAAAAAUAUUUUUCGUUUCGUCUUUUUGAACUGAACGGAUAAUCAAAUUGGAAUAGAUUCUAUUUUUUUUUUAAUUUUUUUUUUUUUUUUUGUUAGUUCAUUUUGUUUAAGCCCCGAAAUUAGAACAAAAAAGCUUGCAUGAAAUUUGAAGUUCUCUGUGAUUGAGAACUCAUUUUAAUUCUACUUGAAGUUUUCUCUAAUUGAUUUCUGGAUUUAUUAAAUUGUGGGUUACAAUUUCAAAACCUGCAGCAAAACGUGGGCAUUUUUGCUAGUAUGGUCCCUAAAAUUCAGCUACGUAAAAUUUGACAGAGAUUACUAGAAUCACAAUAUCAAUUAUUAUAACGAAUGGCAAAUCGAACCAAAUAAUUAAGAAAGUAUCUCGACAGAAUACUCUUGUGUAACUGGUUAUUUAUGCAAGUACGAAUUUCAAAAAGCUGAACGCUAUAUGUUUCAGCCACACAAUUUGAAACACACUAGUAAUGAGGGCGGUGUAGAUAUCAAAUACAUGUUAUGAAGCUCGUUGUAAACAUUAAAAAUAAAAAUAAUAAAAUAAAUUUCCCCAACAUCUCCUUAUUUGAUAGAUUGCUCGUAGCAAGAAUUCUAAUCUGAAGUUGGAGCUACCCAUUUCUCCUAGUUUUAUAGGGUCGAUAACUUCUUGAUGGUAAGCAUACCAAAUGGCUCAGGAAGGCAAGGAAGACUCUGCGCUGAUAG
Pyrus x bretschneideri (Chinese white pear) is the source of this 2590-nucleotide long non-coding RNA. RefSeq lists it as uncharacterized. The transcript has 6 exons. The record is from RefSeq and is a predicted model, not a curated record. NCBI's taxonomy places the organism in Eukaryota, Viridiplantae, Streptophyta, Magnoliopsida, Rosales, Rosaceae.